This 365-nucleotide unclassified non-coding RNA is filed under the name soil metagenome. Its description in RNAcentral is "partial contains 5.8S ribosomal RNA, internal transcribed spacer 2, and large subunit ribosomal RNA". The stretch from base 1 to 120 matches the Rfam family "5.8S ribosomal RNA", at positions 35 to 154 of the family's 154-position model. The record is from RNAcentral.
GAUGAAGAACGUAGCGAAAUGCGAUAAGUAAUGUGAAUUGCAGAAUUCAGUGAAUCAUCGAAUCUUUGAACGCACAUUGCGCCCGCCAGCAUUCUGGCGGGCAUGCCUGUUCGAGCGUCAUUUCAACCCUCGCAGCCCAUCUGGGCAGCGGUGUUGGGGACCGGCACCACCGGCGAAGCCCUUAGGGGCCCAGCCGGCGCCGCCCCCGAAAUACAGUGGCGGUCUCGCUGCAGCCUCCCUUGCGUAGUAGCACACCUCGCACCGGAGCGCAGCGCGGCCACGCCGUAAAACCCCCGACUUUCUGAGUUUGACCUCGAAUCAGGUAGGAAUAACCGCUGAACUUAAGCAUAUCAAUAGGCGGAGGA